GGGAGACUCAGAUAUUAGCAGCCGCGGGGAGCUGUGUCCCCUAAAGGCUGGAGGGAUACAGGGAGGUUGUGGUGUGGGAAGACUUUCAGCAGAGAGGGACCUCUGCCAGGAGCAGAGCUAAGGAUCCAGAGCUGCCAGCACAAGACAGAGGAGAUGCAGCCAAAACAGUGAGGCAGACUCUUCCAACUUCUCCCUUCUUCGCACCCACUGCCAUGGAUUUUCACACAAAAAAACACGGCAGUCCUCCUAAGCAGCUCUCAUCGGUACCAGGUCUCUGGCAGAAGCUGAGCAGAAACUGGGCAAAGUGACGGUCCAUAUCCAGAUGAAGGUAGACCAGUUUGCCAGGAACUUUGUUUCUCAGCGUGGGCUAUAAAAAAGUAGCAUCCAUUGCGAAGAAUUUUGCACUUACUGCAGUAUUACCAAAGAUGCCAAGACGCAAUCGCAGUGAGAUCCACACUUACUCAGGUAAAUUCAACUACUUCAUGC
RNAcentral lists this long non-coding RNA (486 nucleotides) under Chinchilla lanigera (long-tailed chinchilla). RNAcentral's name for it is "lncRNA (ENSCLAG00000029118.1)". Lineage: Eukaryota; Metazoa; Chordata; Mammalia; Rodentia; Chinchillidae. The record is from RNAcentral.